Non-coding RNA from Shewanella putrefaciens CN-32, 132 nucleotides. The record is from Rfam. Lineage: Bacteria; Pseudomonadati; Pseudomonadota; Gammaproteobacteria; Alteromonadales; Shewanellaceae.
GAAUUCGUUAUGGUUUACAGGUUCUUGACACUAAAAACCUCGUGAUUACGGGGUUUUUUGUUAUCUAGGACUUUUAAAUUUGUCGUAUAUAUUCUUUACGACGUUUUACUAGGGCUAUUUAGCCCUUUUUUG